RNAcentral lists this ribosomal RNA (263 nucleotides) under uncultured bacterium. RNAcentral's name for it is "partial 16S ribosomal RNA". It matches the Rfam family "Bacterial small subunit ribosomal RNA", at positions 524 to 778 of the family's 1533-position model. The record is from RNAcentral.
UACGUAGGGCGCAAGCGUUAUCCGGAAUUAUUGGGCGUAAAGAGCUCGUAGGCGGUUUUGUCGCGUCUGCCGUGAAAGUCCGGGGGCUCAACUCCGGAUCUGCGGUGGGGUACGGGGCAGACUAGAGUGAUGUAGGGGGAGACUGGAAUUUCCGGUGUAGCGGUGAAAUGCGUAGAGAUCGGAAGGAACACCGGUGGCGAAGGCGGCCACCUGGACUGAGACGUGACGCUGAGGCGCGAAAGCGGAUGGGUAGCAAACGAGGA